RNAcentral lists this non-coding RNA (76 nucleotides) under Nitrosomonas sp. Nm58. Lineage: Bacteria; Pseudomonadati; Pseudomonadota; Betaproteobacteria; Nitrosomonadales; Nitrosomonadaceae. The record is from RNAcentral.
AAGAGCCGUAUGAGGUGAGAGUUUCACGUACGGUUCCGUGAGCGCCAGAAGAGGAAGUUCCUUCUGGCGACUCUAC